CGUGUAGGCGGUCAGAUAAGUCUGGUGUGAAAUCCCUUGGCUCAACCAAGGAAAGUCGCUGGAAACUGUUUGACUUGAGUACGAGAGAGGAGAGUGGAAUUCCCGGUGUAGAGGUGAAAUUCGUAGAUAUCGGGAGGAACACCGGUGGCGAAGGCGGCUCUCUGGCUCGAUACUGACGCUGAGACGCGAAAGCGUGGGGAGCAAACA
Molecule: ribosomal RNA, 207 nt
Filed under: uncultured bacterium
Lineage: Bacteria
Description: partial 16S ribosomal RNA
Rfam family: Bacterial small subunit ribosomal RNA
Source: RNAcentral